AUUGAACGCUGGCGGCAUGCCUUACACAUGCAAGUCGAAUGGUAACAGGUCUUCGGAUGCUGACGAGUGGCGCACGGGUGAGUAAUACAUCGGAACGUGCCCGAUCGUGGGGGAUAACGAAGCGAAAGCUUUGCUAAUACCGCAUACGAUCUACGGAUGAAAGCAGGGGACCGCAAGGCCUUGCGCGAACGGAGCGGCCGAUGGCAGAUUAGGUAGUUGGUGGGAUAAAAGCUUACCAAGCCGACGAUCUGUAGCUGGUCUGAGAGGACGACCAGCCACACUGGGACUGAGACACGGCCCAGACUCCUACGGGAGGCAGCAGUGGGGAAUUUUGGACAAUGGGCGAAAGCCUGAUCCAGUCAUGCCGCGUGCAGGAUGAAGGCCUUCGGGUUGUAAACUGCUUUUGUACGGAACGAAAAGACUCUGGUUAAUACCUGGGGUCCAUGACGGUACCGUAAGAAUAAGCACCGGCUAACUACGUG
This 482-nucleotide ribosomal RNA is filed under the name uncultured bacterium. RNAcentral describes it as "partial 16S ribosomal RNA". It matches the Rfam family "Bacterial small subunit ribosomal RNA", at positions 30 to 507 of the family's 1533-position model. The record is from RNAcentral.